RNAcentral lists this ribosomal RNA (1462 nucleotides) under uncultured Bordetella sp. RNAcentral describes it as "partial 16S-23S ribosomal RNA intergenic spacer". It matches the Rfam family "Bacterial small subunit ribosomal RNA". The record is from RNAcentral. Lineage: Bacteria; Pseudomonadati; Pseudomonadota; Betaproteobacteria; Burkholderiales; Alcaligenaceae.
AGUUUGAUUCUGGCUCAGAUUGAACGCUAGCGGGAUGCUUUACAUGCAAGUCGAACGGCAGCACGGACUUCGGUCUUGGUGGCGAGUGCGAACGGGUGAGUAAUGUAUCGGAACGUGCUUAGUAGGCGGGGGAUAACUACGCGGAAGCGUAGCUAAUACCGCAUACGCCCUUCGGGGAAAGCGGGGGACCUUUCGCCUCGCACUAUUAGAGCGCCGAUAUCGGAUUAGCUAGUUGGUGGGGUAAACGGCUCACCGGCGACGAUCCGUAGCUGGUUUGAGAGGACGACCAGCCACACUGGGACUGAGACACGGCCCAGACUCUACGGGAGGCAGGGAAUUUUGGACAAUGGGGAAACCUGAUCCAGCCAUCCCGCGUGUGCGAUGAAGGCCUUCGGGUUGUAAAGCACUUUUUGGCAGGAAAGAAACGGCACGGGAUAAUACCCCGUGCAACUGACGGUACCUGCAGAAUAAGCACCGGCUAACUACGUGCCAGCAGCCGCGGUAAUACGUAGGUGGGGUAAGCGUUAAUCGGAAUUACUGGGCGUAAAGCGUGCGCAGGCGGUUCGGAAAGAAAGAUGUGAAAUCCCAGAGCUUAACUUUGGAACUGCAUUUUUAACUACCGAGCUAGAGUGUGUCAGAGGGAGGUGGAAUUCCGCGUAGCAGUGAAAUGCGUAGAUAUGGAGGAACACCAGAUGGCGAAGGCAGCCUCUGGACAUAACACUGAUUAUAAAUGAAAGCGUGGGGAGCAAACAGGAUUAGAUACCCUGGUAGUCCACGCCCUAAACGAUGUCAACUAGCUGUUGGGGCCUCGCCCUGGCAGCGCAGCUAACGCGUGAAGUUGACCGCCUGGGGAGUACGGUCGCAAGAUUAAAACUCAAAGGAAUUGACGGGGACCCGCACAAGCGGUGGAUGAUGUGGGGAUUAAUUGAUGCAACGCGAAACCUUACCUACCCUUGACAUGCCUGGAAUCCUGAAGAGAUUUGGGGAGUGCUCGCAAGAGAACCGGAACACAGGUGCUGCAUGGCUGUCGUCAGCUCGUGUCGUGAGAUGUUGGGUUAAGUCCCGCAACGAGCGCAACCCUUGUCAUUAGUUGCUACGAAAGGGCACUCGACGAGACUGCCGGUAUAAACCGAGGAAGGUGGGGAUGACGUCAAGUCCUCAUGGCCCUUAUGGGUAGGGCUUCACACGUCAUACAAUGGUCGGGACAGAGGUCGCCAACCCGCGAGGGGGAGCCAAUCCCAGAAACCCGAUCAGUCCGGAUCGCAGUCUGCAACUCGACUGCGUGAAGUCGGAAUCGCUAGUAAUCGCGGAUCAGCAUGUCGCGGUGAAGGACGUUCCCGGGUCUUGUACACACCGCCCGUCACACCAUGGGAGUGGGUUUUACCAGAAGUAGUUAGCCUAACCGUAAGGAGGGCGAUUACCACGGUAGGAUUCAUGACUGGGGUGAAGUCGUAACAAGGUA